Long non-coding RNA from Ricinus communis (castor bean), 1359 nucleotides. RefSeq lists it as uncharacterized. The record is from RefSeq and is a predicted model, not a curated record. Lineage: Eukaryota; Viridiplantae; Streptophyta; Magnoliopsida; Malpighiales; Euphorbiaceae. The transcript has 2 exons.
UUGGUCUAAUUAGCAAAACUGUGGUACGUGGGCACAACAUUUUUCUGUCCACGUUGUUAUGUUCAGAGAUCAAUCCUUAGAGUAGAGAUUGAGGUGUCCUAAGUAUAUAUAUAAGGAGGGACAUAGUUUGACUUAAAAAGAAACGGUAGCCGGUAACCGGCCACCGAAACAAACGGCGGCUAGACCAGUUGUAAAAACAGUUAAAAAUUAUAAACCUGGGCUCGAAUGAUGGUGUGAGUUUUGGGAUGAGAAGGGUCUUUGGGCAGACGGAUGAUAAAUGAAUUCGUUGACCAAUGGAAAAGAAAGAUCACUUGUCUCUUGAUGCCGCUUCGUUAUAGACAGGCAACACAAUUUGGUUCUUAGAUGGAUCUGCUUGGCAAGUAUGUUUUUCAUUUGGGCAUGAAAAGUGGAAAAUAGUACUAUAGCAACAGAGAAGAGGAAAGAAGAAGAUGAUGAUAAUGGGUUAUUGAAUAAUUACAAAAGAAGGGCAAAAGACACAACCUUUUUCCUAGUGGAGCUGGUGUUUUGCUUCCGGCGGUGGUGCCGGCGGAGGAGGCGAAAGGCAAAAGCUAAAGAGUAAAAACAACUGGUAUUUUUGUCUUCGUUGAAGUAAAAACAAGCCAUAAAAAAUGGUGAUAUAAAUGGAAGAAAUAAUGAAUAAAAGCAAAAGCGAAUAACCCGGUGGCUAUAAUUUUUGUCACUUGGCACUUUGAAUAUGUUCAGACAUUGAUUUCUGUUUCUGGUACACAGGCAUUUUUAUUUAUUGACCUAAUUAGGACAUAAGUAUGCUUUUUUAUCUUGGGGAGUUUUCUACUUCUUUAAUCACGACAUAAAUUCUCUUGUGGUUUGAUGCACUUACCAGAUAUGAGCUCAAGUAGUUUAAAACAGAGAGUCCACUCGGAAUAACUUAGUCCUGAGUGAGAACCACGUGGGGUUCACAUGUAGAUGUAGAAGCCAGCAACAACAGAAAAUCAGAGUUGUCAAGCUGCCUAUUCAGCUCUUUUCCAAUAAGAAUGCAGUUUUAGGCAACCAUCUAUAAUUGUUCAAAGUAGUCUUCAUCGGAUUGGACUUAAUCCUAUACUAACUGAAAGUGAGUUUACAAUUCCAGGUUAUUGGUACCGGAGAGACCAGUUUUGCAAGAUGGUCAAAGCAGUGCGUGCCAAUGAAGGGAGUGAAUGUAGUCAACAGGGCUGUUCCUGGCCUUAUUUGGCCGCGAAACCAGACUUCCCUUCUUUGUCCUUUUCUUUUUUUCCUUAUUCGGAUAAAGUUUCAUUAGAUACGAGGGAAGAUUCUUUUUUCGUUCUUGGAAUUUAGUAUUUUAAAGAGUAUAUUAUGCUAAAGGGAAAAACUUGAAUUGAA